Molecule: transfer RNA, 109 nt
Filed under: Fusarium pseudograminearum
Lineage: Eukaryota; Fungi; Ascomycota; Sordariomycetes; Hypocreales; Nectriaceae
Description: tRNA-OTHER
Source: RNAcentral
CCUGAGUUGGUGCAAUGGUAGCAUAUCCGAUCUCAUCGAUACAGAGGCUGCAGCUCUGGAAUCGGCCCUUUAGGGCGGGAAGACUUUGGUUCGAAUCCGAAACUUGGGG